Gallus gallus (chicken) is the source of this 671-nucleotide long non-coding RNA. The record is from Ensembl. Lineage: Eukaryota; Metazoa; Chordata; Aves; Galliformes; Phasianidae.
GGAUGAUAGCUGUGAGUGCUAUGUAAAAAUGGGAGUAGAAGUAUAAAAGCAGAUAUCACACUCAACAUGAGACUCCAGCUUCCUCCUUUUGAAGUUAAUCUCCAAACAGCUAAACCAGGAAUGGCCAACUGUAGCAGAAGUGCUAAGUCAGGGCUUGAAGCAGUGAUUGAGCAUGUGGUGGGAAAGCUGGGCCAACACAAGCCAGGUCAGAUACAUACAAUACACCUGAGUGACUAGAAGGGGUGGAUGCAGGAUCCACCCCGUCCCAGACCUCAUUUAAGAGUUGGCAGUGGAGGCAAGGCUAUCUUGCUGGAGAUCCCUGAUGUUUUGAGGCCUUUCAAAGAGUAAGAACAACUAUUUGGACAUCAUAUAUCAGCGUGUUUGAGGCUUCCAAAAUGUCUCUUGUAAGUGUACCUUCUCUGGGUUAAUAAGUUGACCAAUGUCAUAUAAAAGCUACAGCAGGCUCUCUAGACCACUCCUGGCCCAAGUAUGACGCAUUUAAUCCUUCUGUCCAGCGUUCCUAAUCUACAAUGUUUUGAUCCUUGGAUUUCUUUCAAGCAAUGAACAGCUUGUAUAGUUGUGUCUCAGAGACUGAGAAGUCCCUUUCAUUCUGAAAGUACUCUGAUUUCUCUGCAAAUGAAGUUGAGUUGUUUUGAACUGUGCUUUUGUUG